Molecule: small nucleolar RNA, 138 nt
Organism: Ornithorhynchus anatinus (platypus)
Lineage: Eukaryota; Metazoa; Chordata; Mammalia; Monotremata; Ornithorhynchidae
Source: RefSeq, a predicted model, not a curated record
CCCCACUGAGGAUUGCACCUGGAGAGUUUCCAGUCCUCUACCAGACUCGGCUUUAGGAGGGAGAGUCAAGCAGAGGCCUGUCCAUUCCAUUCCUAGCUUGGCCAGUGGCUAGUGAGUGGAAGGCCAUCUGCAACAAGU